UACGGAGGGUGCGAGCGUUAAUCGGAAUUACUGGGCGUAAAGCGCAUGCAGGCGGUCUGUUAAGCAAGAUGUGAAAGCCCGGGGCUUAACCUCGGAACAGCAUUUUGAACUGGCAGGCUAGAGUCUUGUAGAGGGGGGUAGAAUUUCAGGUGUAGCGGUGAAAUGCGUAGAGAUCUGAAGGAAUACCAGUGGCGAAGGCGGCCCCCUGGACAGAUACUGACACUCAGAUGCGAAAGCUAGGGUAGCAAAUGGG
RNAcentral lists this ribosomal RNA (253 nucleotides) under uncultured bacterium. RNAcentral describes it as "partial 16S ribosomal RNA". It matches the Rfam family "Bacterial small subunit ribosomal RNA", at positions 524 to 776 of the family's 1533-position model. The record is from RNAcentral.